Acanthosepion pharaonis is the source of this 90-nucleotide non-coding RNA. The record is from the annotation of a GenBank genome assembly. NCBI's taxonomy places the organism in Eukaryota, Metazoa, Mollusca, Cephalopoda, Sepiida, Sepiidae.
UUUUUCCCGUGCGAUCACCGAAGUUAAGCAAUACCUGAGCCUGGUCACUACCUAGAUGGGUGACUGCUUGGGAAUACCAGGGGAUGUAAG